This 1742-nucleotide long non-coding RNA is filed under the name Sus scrofa (pig). Its description in RNAcentral is "lncRNA (ENSSSCG00030002522.1)". The record is from RNAcentral. Lineage: Eukaryota; Metazoa; Chordata; Mammalia; Artiodactyla; Suidae.
GAGGUUCCAUUAUUUCCAAGAACAUUCAAGUAAAAAGUCCCCAAGCCACAGCCAAGUCCUGAUCUAGUGUAGAUAACCCCUAGCAGUGAACCCUGUACCCUCAAACACAAAGCAAGGCUCCGAAGAACCAGCUUCAUCUUUCACAAAAAAAAAAAAAUUUUGGUAUUAAAAGGAAGCAUUUUACUAUAUAAUAGGAGUUAAAGCUUCUGAAAAUCUUUAUCAAAAAGGAAAGAGACCACCACCACCACCACCAUCCUGGGCACAAUGAGAAAGCUUUACAAUCAAAAGCACCUUUUCCUUUUCCAUCUUUCACAAAAUUUAACAGAAGUUUCUACGCUAAGUGAAUGCCAACAUGAAGCCUGGAGAGUUGACCUCUCCCUCCCCUCCCAAUAAGGCAGGGACGUGGUUAAAAUAAUCUGCACGUGUUUUGACACCUCCCCUCCCCUGCCUAGAUGUUUCCAUGAAACCAGAGGGGCGGCCAGCAUUUUAGAAAGCCUUGCUCUCUGGAAACUUUCCCAGGCUGAAGAGGCCCCUGGAAACCUGCUCCCUCCCACAGGGCCCCUCCAGCAAGAAAGGGCAUCUAAAAGGGGCGUCAGGCCUCUCUCUGGGCUGCUUGCUCCAGAACUGAAUACCCCGUAAGAGCAGAAGAUUUGGUUUUGACACGCUUCUAAUGGUUGUCCUUCCAGCUAGUCAGGGUUUUAAGUGUUUCCCCAGUAUUUAUUUUUUAAAAUGAUGCCCUGUACCUUCAAGAACUGAAUUUCACUUUCGCAUUUUCCACUUUCGUCUCCCGGUACUAACUCCCCGGAACAGUGCCAAGGCGAGUGGCGAGGCUGUGCCUGGGUACCGGGCACUGCACUGUGCUCUCAAAGGGGGGAAUGCCUUCCCCACGGCCCACACCUCUAGAGCUUGGGAGAGUACAGCCUUCCGACUUGAACGGCCUUUUAGGUAAAAUGAUUUACUUCAAGGCAGCAAGCUCUACAUUCUACUCAGUGGGAUUUUCAAGCGGCCCUGUUGCCAGAGCCUUAAAACAGUAGAUACCGGAGUUCCCGUCGUGGCGCAUGCUUAACGAAUCCAACUAGGAACCAUGAGGUUGCGGUUCGGUCCCUGGCCUUGCUCAGCGGGUUAAGGAUCCGGCAUUGCCGUGAGCUGUGGUGUAGGUUGCAGACGCAGCUCGGAUCCCACGUUGCCAUGGCUCUGGCACAGGCUGGUGGCUACAGCUCCGAUUAGAACCCUAGGCUGGGAACCUCCAUGUGCCAUGGGAGUGGCCCUAGAAUGGCAAAAAGACACACACACACACACACACACACACACAAAACAGUAUUUGAAUUGGGCCUUAAAGAAACAGUAAGAUUUGGAUGCCAAUCAAAACUACUAUGAGAUAUCACCUUACACCAGCGAGAAUGGCCAUCAUCAAAAAGUCUACAAAUAAUAAAUGCUGGUGAGGGUACGGAGAAAAGGGAAGGAACCCUCUUACGCUGUUGGGGAGAAUGAAAAUUAGUGCAACCACUAUGGAAAAGAGUAUGGAGGUUCCUCAAAAAACUAAAAAUAAAACUACCAUGUGGUCCAGCAAUUCCUCUCCUGGGCAUCUCUCUGGAGAAAACCAUAAUUCAAAAAGAUAUGUGUACCCCCAGUGUUCAUUGCGGCACAACUCACAAUAUCCAAGACAUGGAAGAAACCUAAACGUUGACAGAGGAGUGAAUAAAGAAGAUGUGGUACAACAUAAAUACAAUGGAAUAUUUCUC